This 293-nucleotide ribosomal RNA is filed under the name uncultured bacterium. RNAcentral describes it as "partial 16S ribosomal RNA". It matches the Rfam family "Bacterial small subunit ribosomal RNA", at positions 333 to 622 of the family's 1533-position model. The record is from RNAcentral.
GGCAUCCUACGGGGCGCAGCAGUGAGGAAUAUUGGUCAAUGGGCGGGAGCCUGAACCAGCCAAGUCGCGUGAGGGAAGACGGUCCUAUGGAUUGUAAACCUCUUUAGGCGGGGAGCAAUGCCGGGCACGUGUGCCCGGAGGGAGAGUACCCGCAGAAUAAGCAUCGGCUAACUCCGUGCCAGCAGCCGCGGUAAUACGGAGGAUGCGAGCGUUAUCCGGAUUUAUUGGGUUUAAAGGGUGCGUAGGCGGAUUUUUAAGUCAGCGGUAAAAUGUCCGGGCUAAACCCGGGCCUG